AAAAGCGGCUCCCGUGCUCUUUCUCUCGCUCGGCUCUUCCUCCGCUCAGGGCAUGUGGCGUAGAGCUUCCUGGGUGACUCGGAUGCAGCUUGAACGAGGGGCGAGGAUCGGGCCGGAUCGGCAACGCUCUGGCCGCCGCCGCCGCCCCCAACCGAGAUCACGGACAGGCGAUCUGGAGAGAAACCUUUUCCCUGCCAGGUGCCACCAAGAGAGUCCGCCCCUUCCAUUCAGAUGCCAGAAGUGGAAGGAGCAUUUCCCAAGACCGCAGGGCCUCCCACCUGAAAGGCCCCCGGUGGGCUAUCAUGCAGGAAAAUUAUGAGACAUUAAUCUCUCUGGCAGAAGAGAUGGCCAUCAGCUUGCCUCGGAUUACUGCACUGGCUGAGUCUCACCGGAGGGGGUUGACAUCAGGCAAGUCACAUGCAAGACUGAACUGCAUUCCAAAAUACAGGCGUAUGAGACAUUCCGUAGCUUUUCCACUGAAUUGAAGCAAUCUGCCUUCAGAAGAAAAAUUGUGUAAACUGAGCAUCAGGUUAUGCAGACUGAACACUUAGGGGUGUUUUAUUCUUCCAAGUGUUCCAAGCAGGAACAGAAGUAGAACAGGAUGAUGAGGCACACUCUGCUUUUUAAGUUGUUCCACAAAUCAUGCUGAACUUUGUUUUUGUUUACUGUACGCCUGCAAU
RNAcentral lists this long non-coding RNA (680 nucleotides) under Salvator merianae (Argentine black and white tegu). Its description in RNAcentral is "lncRNA (ENSSMRG00000000920.1)". The record is from RNAcentral. Lineage: Eukaryota; Metazoa; Chordata; Lepidosauria; Squamata; Teiidae.